GGUUAAGCGACUAAGCGUACACGGUGGAUGCCCUGGCAGUCAGAGGCGAUGAAGGGCGUGCUAAUCUGCGAUAAGCGCCGGUAAGGUGAUAUGAACCGUUAUAACCGGCGAUACCCGAAUGGGGAAACCCAGUGUGACUCGUCACACUAUCAUUAACUGAAUCCAUAGGUUAAUGAGGCGAACCGGGGGAACUGAAACAUCUAAGUACCCCGAGGAAAAGAAAUCAACCGAGAUUCCCCCAGUAGCGGCGAGCGAACGGGGAGGAGCCCAGAGCCUGAAUCAGCAUGUGUGUUAGUGGAAGCGUCUGGAAAGGCGCGCGAUACAGGGUGACAGCCCCGUACACAAAAGCGCAUGUGCUGUGAGCUCGAUGAGUAGGGCGGGACACGUGGUAUCCUGUCUGAAUAUGGGGGGACCAUCCUCCAAGGCUAAAUACUCCUGACUGACCGAUAGUGAACCAGUACCGUGAGGGAAAGGCGAAAAGAACCCCGGCGAGGGGAGUGAAAAAGAACCUGAAACCGUGUACGUACAAGCAGUGGGAGCCCCACCACCAAAGCAUUUGCUGUACCGCGUUGACGGAGCGAAGCGACGUCAAACCGAUAAAACAGCAGUGUAAAGUGAGCCGCAGGGCGCUUUGCGCGACAGCGCAAAGGCAGGCGGUUUCGCGUAGCGAAAGCGAAUGCUUUGGGGUGGGGUGACUGCGUACCUUUUGUAUAAUGGGUCAGCGACUUAUAUUCUGUAGCAAGGUUAACCGAAUAGGGGAGCCGGAGGGAAACCGAGUCUUAAUUGGGCGUUAAGUUGCAGGGUAUAGACCCGAAACCCGGUGAUCUAGCCAUGGGCAGGUUGAAGGUUGGGUAACACUAACUGGAGGACCGAACCGACUAAUGUUGAAAAAUUAGCGGAUGACCUGUGGCUGGGGGUGAAAGGCCAAUCAAACCGGGAGAUAGCUGGUUCUCCCCGAAAGCUAUUUAGGUAGCGCCUCGUGAAUUCAUCUCCGGGGGUAGAGCACUGUUUCGGCUAGGGGGCCAUCCCGGCUUACCAACCCGAUGCAAACUGCGAAUACCGGAGAAUGUUAUCACGGGAGACACACGGCGGGUGCUAACGUCCGUCGUGAAGAGGGAAACAACCCAGACCGCCAGCUAAGGUCCCAAAGUCAUGGUUAAGUGGGAAACGAUGUGGGAAGGCCCAGACAGCCAGGAUGUUGGCUUAGAAGCAGCCAUCAUUUAAAGAAAGCGUAAUAGCUCACUGGUCGAGUCGGCCUGCGCGGAAGAUGUAACGGGGCUAAACCAUGCACCGAAGCUGCGGCAGCGACACUGUGUGUUGUUGGGUAGGGGAGCGUUCUGUAAGCCUGUGAAGGUGUGUCGUGAGGCAUGCUGGAGGUAUCAGAAGUGCGAAUGCUGACAUAAGUAACGAUAAAGCGGGUGAAAAGCCCGCUCGCCGGAAGACCAAGGGUUCCUGUCCAACGUUAAUCGGGGCAGGGUGAGUCGACCCCUAAGGCGAGGCCGAAAGGCGUAGUCGAUGGGAAACGGGUUAAUAUUCCCGUACUUGGUGUUACUGCGAAGGGGGGACGGAGAAGGCUAUGUUGGCCGGGCGACGGUUGUCCCGGUUUAAGCGUGUAGGUGUGUGUUCCAGGUAAAUCCGGUUCACUUUAACACUGAGGCGUGACGACGAGGCACUACGGUGCUGAAGCAACAAAUGCCCUGCUUCCAGGAAAAGCCUCUAAGCAUCAGGUAACAUCAAAUCGUACCCCAAACCGACACAGGUGGUCAGGUAGAGAAUACCAAGGCGCUUGAGAGAACUCGGGUGAAGGAACUAGGCAAAAUGGUGCCGUAACUUCGGGAGAAGGCACGCUGACACGUAGGUGAAGUGAUUUACUCAUGGAGCUGAAGUCAGUCGAAGAUACCAGCUGGCUGCAACUGUUUAUUAAAAACACAGCACUGUGCAAACACGAAAGUGGACGUAUACGGUGUGACGCCUGCCCGGUGCCGGAAGGUUAAUUGAUGGGGUCAGCGCAAGCGAAGCUCCUGAUCGAAGCCCCGGUAAACGGCGGCCGUAACUAUAACGGUCCUAAGGUAGCGAAAUUCCUUGUCGGGUAAGUUCCGACCUGCACGAAUGGCGUAAUGAUGGCCAGGCUGUCUCCACCCGAGACUCAGUGAAAUUGAACUCGCUGUGAAGAUGCAGUGUACCCGCGGCAAGACGGAAAGACCCCGUGAACCUUUACUAUAGCUUGACACUGAACAUUGAGCCUUGAUGUGUAGGAUAGGUGGGAGGCUUUGAAGUGUGGACGCCAGUCUGCAUGGAGCCGACCUUGAAAUACCACCCUUUAAUGUUUGAUGUUCUAACGUGGACCCGUUACCCGGGUUGCGGACAGUGUCUGGUGGGUAGUUUGACUGGGGCGGUCUCCUCCUAAAGAGUAACGGAGGAGCACGAAGGUUGGCUAAUCCUGGUCGGACAUCAGGAGGUUAGUGCAAUGGCAUAAGCCAGCUUGACUGCGAGCGUGACGGCGCGAGCAGGUGCGAAAGCAGGUCAUAGUGAUCCGGUGGUUCUGAAUGGAAGGGCCAUCGCUCAACGGAUAAAAGGUACUCCGGGGAUAACAGGCUGAUACCGCCCAAGAGUUCAUAUCGACGGCGGUGUUUGGCACCUCGAUGUCGGCUCAUCACAUCCUGGGGCUGAAGUAGGUCCCAAGGGUAUGGCUGUUCGCCAUUUAAAGUGGUACGCGAGCUGGGUUUAGAACGUCGUGAGACAGUUCGGUCCCUAUCUGCCGUGGGCGCUGGAGAACUGAGGGGGGCUGCUCCUAGUACGAGAGGACCGGAGUGGACGCAUCACUGGUGUUCGGGUUGUCAUGCCAAUGGCACUGCCCGGUAGCUAAAUGCGGAAGAGAUAAGUGCUGAAAGCAUCUAAGCACGAAACUUGCCCCGAGAUGAGUUCUCCCUGAGACUUAAAGUCUCCUGAAGGAACGUUGAAGACGACGACGUUGAUAGGCCGGGUGUGUAAGCGCAGCGAUGCGUUGAGCUAACCGGUACUAAUGAACCGUGAGGCUUAACCUU
Molecule: ribosomal RNA, 3044 nt
Filed under: Salmonella enterica
Lineage: Bacteria; Pseudomonadati; Pseudomonadota; Gammaproteobacteria; Enterobacterales; Enterobacteriaceae
Also listed under: 3 other names
Description: 23S ribosomal RNA
Rfam family: Bacterial large subunit ribosomal RNA
Source: RNAcentral